CAAAGAUAAAAUUUGUGUGUGGAGUAGAAGCAGCAUCGGGCAAGGUUGGGAAUACUCACUUAUUAAUUUUGUCCCCAUCAUACCUACUUUGAGACACUGAAUUUUCCUUUGUCCUACAGACAAGGAAAAUUUCCCCACUCCCAAAUUUGCUUAUUUCAAAUUCUAGAAUUGAAAACGAUGGUUUCCAAUCUCCUAAAAGAACUUCAUCUACAACAUUUGGGCAGAAAUAGAGGAGUUCCAACUCUGCAUGUUCUGAUGGGUUGUGUAAUAAGGAAAAUCAACAACAGGAAAUGGAUACACCCAUCCUGUGGACAUAGCUUGGAAGGUUUGUUCCUUAAGUUAGAGGAGGCUUAAGCAUCCAAUAAGAGACAAGGCUCAGAUUCACUCCCCAGGAGCUGAUUCUUAACUUUGGGGUACAUGCAACUUGUAACAGGGGCAAUGGCAGAAGAAGCCAGACUAUCUUGGGUCCAAAUCUUGGCCCUGGAAACAGUAACUGGAAGAUCUUGAGAGCGUCUCUUAAUUUCUCUUCCUUCUCUACAUGAAGAGGUAUGUUAAUUUAUUUGUAGUAUUACUUUAAAGAUCAGAAUUGUUGAAACUC
RNAcentral lists this long non-coding RNA (598 nucleotides) under Mustela putorius furo (domestic ferret). RNAcentral's name for it is "lncRNA (ENSMPUG00000026156.1)". Lineage: Eukaryota; Metazoa; Chordata; Mammalia; Carnivora; Mustelidae. The record is from RNAcentral.